Long non-coding RNA from Mandrillus leucophaeus (drill), 560 nucleotides. RefSeq lists it as uncharacterized. NCBI's taxonomy places the organism in Eukaryota, Metazoa, Chordata, Mammalia, Primates, Cercopithecidae. The record is from RefSeq and is a predicted model, not a curated record. The transcript is spliced from 3 exons.
AAACCAGAAUCACUGGGCCAUCCAGGAAUCGAAGCAGAACAUGAAGAAAUUCCAUGCAAACAGGGCUGUUAAAAGCCAACCCGCCAGAGAGGGCAGAACGGAGGAAGGACGAGAGGGUUCCACGUCCUGGAGGCAGAGCACCCACGGAAGUUUCUCAACACUUCUCGUUGAUUCAAGUGGAACACCUUGAAGAAAGGCCCUUCUGUUCCCCUACACGGUGGACAGCAGAGCUCUGAAAAUUAGAUGCUUCCCCAAACCCAGACUCUCUUGGAACAUUCUUCCCAUGUGGGUGGUGUGAACUGCGUGGCACUGUUGUCCUCGUUGGCAUACAUAGAUUUACACUCUCAGGGACGAGACUUCCAAGGCAACACCUAGGAUUUAGAGACUAUGUUGUCAGAGACAGGCAUGGAGGCAAUGUCCUGGUUCUCAUGUGGUCAAAAAGGUAGAUGAAGAGAAAACAUGGGCUCAGCAGCCCGGCCCUCUCCAGAGAAGCCACGGGUAGAGGCUCACCAACACCUGCCCCUCCCUCCAGGGUGUCGCCGGCUUUCAGAAUAAAGCCU